GGGUUGUGAGGUUAAGCGACUAAGCGUACACGGUGGAUGCCCUGGCAGUCAGAGGCGAUGAAGGACGUGCUAAUCUGCGAUAAGCGUCGGUAAGGUGAUAUGAACCGUUAUAACCGGCGAUUUCCGAAUGGGGAAACCCAGUGUGUUUCGACACACUAUCAUUAACUGAAUCCAUAGGUUAAUGAGGCGAACCGGGGGAACUGAAACAUCUAAGUACCCCGAGGAAAAGAAAUCAACCGAGAUUCCCCCAGUAGCGGCGAGCGAACGGGGAGCAGCCCAGAGCCUGAAUCAGUGUGUGUGUUAGUGGAAGCGUCUGGAAAGGCGCGCGAUACAGGGUGACAGCCCCGUACACAAAAAUGCACAUGCUGUGAGCUCGAUGAGUAGGGCGGGACACGUGGUAUCCUGUCUGAAUAUGGGGGGACCAUCCUCCAAGGCUAAAUACUCCUGACUGACCGAUAGUGAACCAGUACCGUGAGGGAAAGGCGAAAAGAACCCCGGCGAGGGGAGUGAAAAAGAACCUGAAACCGUGUACGUACAAGCAGUGGGAGCACGCUUCGGCGUGUGACUGCGUACCUUUUGUAUAAUGGGUCAGCGACUUAUAUUCUGUAGCAAGGUUAACCGAAUAGGGGAGCCGAAGGGAAACCGAGUCUUAACUGGGCGUUAAGUUGCAGGGUAUAGACCCGAAACCCGGUGAUCUAGCCAUGGGCAGGUUGAAGGUUGGGUAACACUAACUGGAGGACCGAACCGACUAAUGUUGAAAAAUUAGCGGAUGACUUGUGGCUGGGGGUGAAAGGCCAAUCAAACCGGGAGAUAGCUGGUUCUCCCCGAAAGCUAUUUAGGUAGCGCCUCGUGAAUUCAUCUCCGGGGGUAGAGCACUGUUUCGGCAAGGGGGUCAUCCCGACUUACCAACCCGAUGCAAACUGCGAAUACCGGAGAAUGUUAUCACGGGAGACACACGGCGGGUGCUAACGUCCGUCGUGAAGAGGGAAACAACCCAGACCGCCAGCUAAGGUCCCAAAGUCAUGGUUAAGUGGGAAACGAUGUGGGAAGGCCCAGACAGCCAGGAUGUUGGCUUAGAAGCAGCCAUCAUUUAAAGAAAGCGUAAUAGCUCACUGGUCGAGUCGGCCUGCGCGGAAGAUGUAACGGGGCUAAACCAUGCACCGAAGCUGCGGCAGCGACGCUGAUGCGUUGUUGGGUAGGGGAGCGUUCUGUAAGCCUGCGAAGGUGUGCUGUGAGGCAUGCUGGAGGUAUCAGAAGUGCGAAUGCUGACAUAAGUAACGAUAAAGCGGGUGAAAAGCCCGCUCGCCGGAAGACCAAGGGUUCCUGUCCAACGUUAAUCGGGGCAGGGUGAGUCGACCCCUAAGGCGAGGCCGAAAGGCGUAGUCGAUGGGAAACAGGUUAAUAUUCCUGUACUUGGUGUUACUGCGAAGGGGGGACGGAGAAGGCUAUGUUGGCCGGGCGACGGUUGUCCCGGUUUAAGCGUGUAGGCUGGUUUUCCAGGCAAAUCCGGAAAAUCAAGGCUGAGGCGUGAUGACGAGGCACUACGGUGCUGAAGCAACAAAUGCCCUGCUUCCAGGAAAAGCCUCUAAGCAUCAGGUAACAUCAAAUCGUACCCCAAACCGACACAGGUGGUCAGGUAGAGAAUACCAAGGCGCUUGAGAGAACUCGGGUGAAGGAACUAGGCAAAAUGGUGCCGUAACUUCGGGAGAAGGCACGCUGAUAUGUAGGUGAAGUCCCUCGCGGAUGGAGCUGAAAUCAGUCGAAGAUACCAGCUGGCUGCAACUGUUUAUUAAAAACACAGCACUGUGCAAACACGAAAGUGGACGUAUACGGUGUGACGCCUGCCCGGUGCCGGAAGGUUAAUUGAUGGGGUCAGCGCAAGCGAAGCUCUUGAUCGAAGCCCCGGUAAACGGCGGCCGUAACUAUAACGGUCCUAAGGUAGCGAAAUUCCUUGUCGGGUAAGUUCCGACCUGCACGAAUGGCGUAAUGAUGGCCAGGCUGUCUCCACCCGAGACUCAGUGAAAUUGAACUCGCUGUGAAGAUGCAGUGUACCCGCGGCAAGACGGAAAGACCCCGUGAACCUUUACUAUAGCUUGACACUGAACAUUGAGCCUUGAUGUGUAGGAUAGGUGGGAGGCUUUGAAGUGUGGACGCCAGUCUGCAUGGAGCCGACCUUGAAAUACCACCCUUUAAUGUUUGAUGUUCUAACGUUGACCCGUAAUCCGGGUUGCGGACAGUGUCUGGUGGGUAGUUUGACUGGGGCGGUCUCCUCCUAAAGAGUAACGGAGGAGCACGAAGGUUGGCUAAUCCUGGUCGGACAUCAGGAGGUUAGUGCAAUGGCAUAAGCCAGCUUGACUGCGAGCGUGACGGCGCGAGCAGGUGCGAAAGCAGGUCAUAGUGAUCCGGUGGUUCUGAAUGGAAGGGCCAUCGCUCAACGGAUAAAAGGUACUCCGGGGAUAACAGGCUGAUACCGCCCAAGAGUUCAUAUCGACGGCGGUGUUUGGCACCUCGAUGUCGGCUCAUCACAUCCUGGGGCUGAAGUAGGUCCCAAGGGUAUGGCUGUUCGCCAUUUAAAGUGGUACGCGAGCUGGGUUUAGAACGUCGUGAGACAGUUCGGUCCCUAUCUGCCGUGGGCGCUGGAGAACUGAGGGGGGCUGCUCCUAGUACGAGAGGACCGGAGUGGACGCAUCACUGGUGUUCGGGUUGUCAUGCCAAUGGCACUGCCCGGUAGCUAAAUGCGGAAGAGAUAAGUGCUGAAAGCAUCUAAGCACGAAACUUGCCCCGAGAUGAGUUCUCCCUGACCCUUUAAGGGUCCUGAAGGAACGUUGAAGACGACGACGUUGAUAGGCCGGGUGUGUAAGCGCAGCGAUGCGUUGAGCUAACCGGUACUAAUGAACCGUGAGGCUUAACCUUACAACGCCGAAGCUGUU
Molecule: ribosomal RNA, 2930 nt
Filed under: Escherichia coli
Lineage: Bacteria; Pseudomonadati; Pseudomonadota; Gammaproteobacteria; Enterobacterales; Enterobacteriaceae
Description: 23S ribosomal RNA
Rfam family: Bacterial large subunit ribosomal RNA
Source: RNAcentral